AGGAGCCCUGCGAGAUGAAAGUCUCAUGCACGGUUUUGAAUGAGAGAAAGAAGUGAGGAAUCCUCUUUUCGACUCUGAC
This is a non-coding RNA of Punica granatum (pomegranate), 79 nucleotides long. NCBI's taxonomy places the organism in Eukaryota, Viridiplantae, Streptophyta, Magnoliopsida, Myrtales, Lythraceae. The record is from Rfam.